This 3598-nucleotide long non-coding RNA is filed under the name Canis lupus familiaris (dog). RNAcentral describes it as "lncRNA (ENSCAFG00000052743.1)". Lineage: Eukaryota; Metazoa; Chordata; Mammalia; Carnivora; Canidae. The record is from RNAcentral.
UCCGUAGUUAGCAGAAGCUGAUGAAAGCCACGGACUCACUUCCCAGAAAUACACAGCGCGCGCGCGCACACACACACACACACACAUCCCAUGUCAAAGGUUUACAAAAUGUCCAUGAACAUCCAAGGGCCCUCUAUGACUGUGCUGCCCCAUACGAUAGUGCACGUCCCGUGUGGCAGUUUCAGUUGAAUUAAUCUGAAAGAUUCAGUUUCUCAUUCCCACUGGCCACAUUUCAAGUGCUCUAGAGACAGAAUUUCAGGAAGUCCUAUGGGACAGCUCGGCUCUGAAACUCCACAGGCCUAAGGCUAAGGACCCCACCCCUUAAGCGAAGCCCUAUCCAUGUGGUGGCUUGUAACCCCACUGCCACUCUACUGUUGGCCGUCUUCUGUUUCUGUAUAUAGGCGGGCCGACGCACAAGUGGGGGCAGCGUAUGCAUAGGCCGGGUCCCCCAGCCCUCACCCAAAGCUCAUGCCCGGAGUCCAGAGGAGGGGCCUGAGGCUUGUGGCUCAGGAGCACUGAAUGACGCGUCCCAGGUCACACAGAAUAUGCCAGAGGGUUAUGGCGACCGGGCUAGAGUGGAUAGCCCUUGCAAUGCUCACGUGUAGCAACAUCCAAAGGUUCUUAGUGCAACGUCUGGGGCCAGGCUGGUGGACACAGGGGUGGUCACGCGCACGUCAGCACAGGUCUCCAGACCUGUACCGGCCCCCACCCGCGCCCCCCACAUGCUCUCCCUCUCUUUGCUCACAGCCCUGGGGUCCCCGGCCUCGUCCCUGGAGUCGCCAUAACCCUCUGGCAUAUUCUGUGUGACCUGGGACGCGUCAUUCAGUGCUCCUGAGCCACAAGCCUCAGGCCCCUCCUCUGGACUCCGGGCAUGAGCUUUGGGUGAGGGCUGGGGGACCCGGCCUAUGCAUACGCUGCCCCCACUUGUGCGUCGGCCCGCCUAUAUACAGAAACAGAAGACGGCCAACAGUAGAGUGGCAGUGGGGUUACAAGCCGCCAGAUGGAUAGGGCUUCGCUUAAGGGGUGGGGUCCUUAGCCUUAGGCCUGUGGAGUUUCAGAGCCGAGCUGUCCCAUAGGACUUCCUGAAAUUCUGUCUCUAGAGCACUUGAAAUGUGGCCAGUGGGAAUGAGAAACUGAAUCUUUCAGAUUAAUUCAACUGAAACUGCCACACGGGACGUGCACUAUCGUAUGGGGCAGCACAGUCAUAGAGGGCCCUUGGAUGUUCAUGGACAUUUUGUAAACCUUUGACAUGGGAUGUGUGUGUGUGUGUGUGUGUGUGUGUGUGUGUGUGUUGUGUAUUUCUGGGAAGUGAGUCCAUGGCUUUCAUCAGCUUCUACUAACUGCGGAAGAUGUCAGGACCUGCAACUUUAUGGCUUUGGCAGAAAGGAAGCAAGGUAAGGGAGGUGAGUGUGGCUUCUGGAAACCACUGGUGUUCCUUCUUUCUGCUUUUGCCUGUCCUCAGCUGUGGAUGGCUUCUCGGCAUUAACUCCUAUGAUUUUGACUUCUUCAUAGUUAGUUAGGACCCCUAGCCUCGAGGUCAAUGGUGUUAAACUGAAACUGUCAUACAAACUGUUUAAUUUUUUUAAAUAUUUCUUUUCUUUAUUCAGUAGAAGGAUGAAGCGACCAGUAACAGAUUGAGAGAAUUGAAAAAACCUACUGUUUCAUGUCUUUCCUUACUAUUACUCAGAAUACUCACACUUUCUGAAACCAGAUACGGUGUGGUUUUCCCCCUAGCAAGCAACCCCGUCUGGAACCAGCUGAGUAUCCUACAAUUUCACUCAAUUCUACAGCAUCCACCCAGAGAUGGCAUUAUAUCUCAUGGGUUGAGGGCUAAUACCUGUAAGACUGCUCCAGUCCCAUUUCAGAUACUAAUAGCAAGUCCAGCAAAUCACCUGUGCUUCUGACCAUUGGUUUAUCAAUUGGGGAUGCCAGAGACCCCUCCCCCUGGGUUUGACUAAUGUGCUAGAGUGGCUCAUAGAGCAUAGGACCAGGUCUGGGAGAGUCGUGAGCACAGGGGCUUCCGUCCCCGUAGAGUUGGGAUGUGUCACCCCCUCAGUAUGCGGAUAUGCUCACCAACCUGGAAGCUUCCCUAACCUGCUACUAUUCGGGUUUUAAGGCGGCUUCAUCACAUAUGCAUGAUCAAUCAGUAACUCCAUUUCCAUCUCUUCUCCCUUCUCUUGAUGGAGGUGGAGCUGAAAAUACCAAGCUUCUAAUCUUGGAUUGGUCUUUCUGGACCAGCCCAGAUCCAGGAGCAGAUCCAGAGUCCUCUCAUGAGAAUCAAAGAUAUUUCUAGUGCUCAGGAACUUCCAGAGCCCUGUGUCAGGGACUGGAGACAAAGACCAAGUAUGUAUUUCUUAUUAUAAAUCACAAUAUCAGAAAAAGAGAGAGAGAUUCAUCAUAAGGAAUUGGCUUACAUGAUCAUAGAGGUUUGUAAGUCCCAAGAUCUGUGAGUUGGCAAGGUGGAGACCCAGAAGUGCUGACGGUUUAAUUCUAGUGCAUGUACAAAUGCCUGAGAAGAGGGGAGCCAAGGAUAGAGUUCUUGUCCAAAGACCAGCCGGCUUGAGGCACAGGAAGAGCAGCUCUUCCAAUUUGAGUCUGAAGGUGGGAUAAAAGCCAAUAUCCCAGCUCAAAAACCAUUAGGUAGGUAUUUUUUAUUGGUGUUCAAUUUUCCAACAUAUAGAAUAACACCCAGUGCUCAUCCCGUCAAGUGCCCACCUCAGUGCCCGCCACCCAGUCACCCCCACCCCCUGCCCACCUCCCCUUCCACCACCCCUAGUUCGUUUCCCAGAGUUAGGAGUCUUUCAUGUUCUGUCUUCCUUUCUGAUAUUUCCCACUCAUUUUUCUCCUUUCCCCUUUAUUCCCUUUCACUAUUUUUUUUAUAUUUGGGUCCAAGAUUAUAGCACCCAAACCAAUCAACCAACCUGAGCUCAGCUUCUUGUUCUAAGAUGCCACAUCCAGGGGCACCUGGGUUAAGCGUCUGACUCUUGGUUUUAGCUCACAUCAUGAUGUCAUGGUCGUGAGAUCAAGCCCCACAUCCAGCUCCAUGCUCAGUGGGGAGUCUGCUUGGGAUUUUCUCUCUCUCCCCCUCCACCCCUCUCUAAAAUAAUACUAUAAAUGGCAUAUCUACUCAAAAACUUGACACUGAAGCUCUGCUCUCUAUAAUUUGGUCCCUGUCCACUUGUCAUCUGCUCAUGAAAUAAGCAGUUCACGAGCACCUGCUCAAUACCAGAUAGCAUUCUAGAUUCUGGAGGCUCCGGAGUGAUGUGACAAAAAGCUAAUAGGGACUAGCUCAUAGGUCUUGGAAUUGACAGGUACAGAAAGCAGAGUGGGUGGAGGGAUGGAAGUUGGAGUGGAACAGCUGGGACAGAAGGUGUAAGAAACAGAAUUUGUAACCAGCUACCACCCCAGUGGCUGCUGGCUUAACAGAGCAGAAAAUUUACCAUGGGUGGGCCCCCAGAAUGAGUAUGGGGACAAGGGAGAGAGGCAGCACAGAGCCUGGGGUUCACAGCAGCCCCAGAAUUAAAGAAAAGAUAGCUGCACCCAGGGAGAAAGUGCACUAAGAAUAAAGUUCACCUUGGGACGGCUGGGUGCCUCAGUG